RNAcentral lists this ribosomal RNA (252 nucleotides) under uncultured bacterium. RNAcentral's name for it is "partial 16S ribosomal RNA". It matches the Rfam family "Bacterial small subunit ribosomal RNA", at positions 524 to 776 of the family's 1533-position model. The record is from RNAcentral.
UACGGGGGAUGCGAGCGUUAUCCGGAUUUAUUGGGUUUAAAGGGCGCGUAGGCGGGACGCCAAGUCAGCGGUAAAAGACUGCAGCUAAACUGUAGCACGCCGUUGAAACUGGCGCCCUCGAGGGGGGUAGGGGCGUGCGGAACUGUGGGUGGAGCGGUGAAAUGCGUUGAGAUCCACAGGAACUCCGGUGGCGAAGGCGGCACGCUGGACCCCUUCUGACGCUGAGGCGCGAAAGCCAGGGUAGCGAACGGG